AUGGCGUCCACCAAAGUCCAGCGUAUCAUGACCCAGCCCAUCAACCUCAUCUUUCGGUUCCUCCAGAGCAAAGCGCGCAUCCAGAUCUGGCUUUUCGAGCAGAAGGAUAUGCGGAUCGAGGGUCGUAUCAUCGGCUUUGAUGAGUACAUGAACCUGGUUCUCGAGGAUGCUGAGGAAAUCAACAUUAAGAAGAACACCAGGAAAUCGUUGGGAAGGAUACUCUUGAAAGGCGACAACAUAACUCUGAUGAUGAACACUGGAAAGUGA
Molecule: ribosomal RNA, 267 nt
Filed under: Triticum aestivum (bread wheat)
Lineage: Eukaryota; Viridiplantae; Streptophyta; Magnoliopsida; Poales; Poaceae
Description: partial small subunit ribosomal RNA
Source: RNAcentral